GAAGGUGUAGUUCAUUGGUAGAGUGUGUGCUUAGCAUGCAGGAGGUCCUAGGUUCAAUCCCCAGUACCUCCA
Molecule: transfer RNA, 72 nt
Filed under: Camelus bactrianus (Bactrian camel)
Lineage: Eukaryota; Metazoa; Chordata; Mammalia; Artiodactyla; Camelidae
Also listed under: 2 other names
Rfam family: tRNA
About the family: Transfer RNA (tRNA) molecules are approximately 80 nucleotides in length. Their secondary structure includes four short double-helical elements and three loops (D, anti-codon, and T loops).
Source: Rfam by way of RNAcentral